CACCUAUAGUCAAUGUCCAGAAUCUAUAAAGGUGUAAAGGUCUACAUUUAGUCAAUGUCCAGAAUCUGUAAAGGUGUAAAGGUCCACCUAUAGUCGAUGUCCAGAAUCUGUAAAGGUCCACCUAUAGUCAAUGUCCAGAAUCUGUAAACGUCCACCUAUAGUCAAUGUCCAGAAUCUGUAAAGGUCUACCUUUAGUCAAUGUCCAGAAUCUGUAAAGGUCUACCUAUAGUCAAUGUCCAGAAUCUGUAAAGGUCUACCUAUAGUCAAUGUCCAGAAUCUGUAAAGGUCUACCUUUAGUCAAUGUCCAGAAUCUGUAAAGGUCUACCUAUAGUCAAUGUCCAGAAUCUGUAAAGGUCCACCUAUAGUCAAUGUCCAGAAUCUAUAAAGGUGUAAAGGUCUACAUUUAGUCAAUGUCCAGAAUCUGUAAAGGUCUACCUAUAGUCAAUGUCCAGAAUCUGUAAAGGUCCACCUAUAGUCAAUGUCCAGAAUCUGUAAAGGUCCACCUAUAGUCAAUGUCCAGAAUCUAUAAAGGUGUAAAGGUCUACCUAUAGUCAAUGUCCAGAAUCUGUAAAGGUCCACCUAUAGUCAAUGUCCAGAAUCUAUAAAGGUGUAAAGGUCUACAUUUAGUCAAUGUCCAGAAUCUGUAAAGGUGUAAAGGUGUAAAGGUCCACCUAUAGUCAAUGUCCAGAAUCUGUAAAGGUCCACCUAUAGUCAAUGUCCAGAAUCUGUAAAGGUGUAAAGGUCCACCUAUAGUCAAUGUCCAGAAUCUGUAAAGGUCCACCUAUAGUCAAUGUCCAGAAUCUGUAAAGGUCCACCUAUAGUCAAUGUCCAGAAUCUGUAAAGGUGUAAAGGUCCACCUAUAGUCAAUGUCCAGAAUCUGUAAAGGUCCACCUAUAGUCAAUGUCCAGAAUCUAUAAAGGUGUAAAGGUCUACCUAUAGUCAAUGUCCAGAAUCUGUAAAGGUCCACCUAUAGUCAAUGUCCAGAAUCUAUAAAGGUGUAAAGGUCUACAUUUAGUCAAUGUCCAGAAUCUGUAAAGGUGUAAAGGUGUAAAGGUCCACCUAUAGUCAAUGUCCAGAAUCUGUAAAGGUCCACCUAUAGUCAAUGUCCAGAAUCUGUAAAGGUGUAAAGGUCCACCUAUAGUCAAUGUCCAGAAUCUGUAAAGGUCCACCUAUAGUCAAUGUCCAGAAUCUGUAAAGGUGUAAAGGUCCACCUAUAGUCAAUGUCUGGAGUCAAUGUCCAGAAUCUGUAAAAGUGUAAAGGUCCACCUAUAGUCAAUGUCCAGAAUCUGUAAAGGUGUAAAGGUCUACCUUUAGUCAAUGUCCAGAAUCUGUAAAGGUCUACCUUUAGUCAAUGUCCAGAAUCUGUAAAGGUGUAAAGGUCCACCUAUAGUCAAUGUCCAGAAUCUGUAAAGGUGUAAAGGUCCACAUAUAGUCAAUGUCCAGAAUCUGUAAAGGUCUACCUUUAGUCAAUGUCCAGAAUCUGUAAAGGUCUACCUUUAGUUAACGUCUGAAGCCAAUAUCGAUCCAGGAUCUGUUAACAGCUAAUUAUGACCAAUGUCCAAAUAAUAUCCAUGUUAGAUAAAAUGUCCAGUACUGCAUUAAAACAGGGAGCUAAUGGAAUGUUUAUCAUUUGACAAGACAUCUGGCGUGAAGACGUAGUUUUGACUUAUAGGUAGGACUAGAAUUAAGAGCAUAGCUACCGGCUCUUAAAUCACUUAUAUUGUCAAUGGGCCAUAAAACUAA
Pecten maximus is the source of this 1743-nucleotide long non-coding RNA. RefSeq lists it as uncharacterized. The transcript is spliced from 6 exons. NCBI's taxonomy places the organism in Eukaryota, Metazoa, Mollusca, Bivalvia, Pectinida, Pectinidae. The record is from RefSeq and is a predicted model, not a curated record.